UCCACCGGCCGAACAUGUACUACCUUGCCUUCUCUUCCUCUGGCUGGCGGCCCUAAAAAAAAAAAUCUUGGCGGCGGCGGCGGCAUGGAGGUCCACGGAGGCGGAGACGAAUCGGAGACGGAGAUGAAGACCCCGCAUUCCCCCUCAGGUCCUCCGAGCGACGACGCGGACUGGGCCAAGUCUACCGCCAGCACCGAGGACGACGACUAUUGGACCGUCAGCGACGACGAAGAGGAAGAUGAAGACGAUGAUAAAUACCACCAUUUUACAGUUGAUGAUUUCCCAAGGGUUAGCAGCGACCAUUGUGAGCAGAGUGAUGCUCUGUACCUAAAUUCAGAUAUUCAGCGAGGCCCUCCGACGAUCCGUCUUUUCCGUGCAUUCAAUGAUCCCCUUGUUGAGAAGCACAAACAUUGCUUUGGUGACCAAUAUCAACUAUAUGAUGAGUCUGAAAUUAAUGUAAACAACAAUAUUACUACCGUUAAUUGCUCACACGGCUGCCGUUGCAAUUCGAUCGGCGUGCUGCAGUUCAUUGAUCUCAAAAUUGCUGGCUAUCGGCAUGCCCAACCUGCAUGUGCGAAGAUAUUUGGUUUUUUCGCAGCAAGGGAUGGGGUUGAACCUCUGCGCAACUAUGUCUACCGGCGUGGGAUUGAUAAUUAUGAAGCUGUAAAUGUGAAUCGGGAUACGGGCAUUGCACAUUUAUCACUGACUAGCCCUGCUCGAUGUAUUUGCAUGAUAUGCCGUGUUUUUUUUGAAUUCAAACUUUGUGUACGGACUGAUGACCAACAAGAAGAUGGGCCGAAGGAUGACCUUCUGAUCGAAGGGUGUACCGAGUUUGUGAACAUGUUCAAAACAGGACCAUUCAUUGAAUUUCGGCGUCUGUAUGGGGAGAAGUGUGGAUUGGAUAUGAAGUUUCUUGUGUUGCAGAAUGCAGUUCAAGCAAAGUUGAUGUCGAGAUACUCCGUGCUCCUGGCAAUGGCAUUAAUUUGAAUCUUUAUGCGAAGACCAGUGGAUUCAGAGAAGUGAUCCGCCUCUUUUCUGGAGUUACAGAAUCGGGUUGUGGAAUGAGUUUGGUCAUUGGUGUGAUGAGGCACAGUUAUCUUAAUUUCUGUAUUGAAGGAUCCCCGAAAGAUGGCGUUUUUUCUCAAGAGCUGCCGUGCUGUAUGUGGGAAGGUCGAUUUGGUUCACGGUAUCAUGGAACAGUGCAUGAAGUGGUGUAUCUUCAUGAUUCCACAAAAAUUUCUGUCAAGAUUAGCUGGAAGGCUGUUGAGAGUUGAUGUGGUUUGGAACGCUGAAGACUGGAAGAAGUUGUCAUGUAUAUCCUUAUGUCAUUCGCAGCGAGUUCUGUUUACGGUAUUUUAUUGUAUGUUCCAUCAACAUAAAACAUUUUGUGCAUCAUGCGAAGAAGAACAAUGCGGACAGUAGAACACAUAGAUAUUGCAUGUGCAAGAAAAAGAAAAUUCAAGUAAA
This is an RNA transcript of Hordeum vulgare subsp. vulgare (domesticated barley), 1467 nucleotides long. RefSeq lists it as uncharacterized. The transcript is spliced from 4 exons. The record is from RefSeq and is a predicted model, not a curated record. NCBI's taxonomy places the organism in Eukaryota, Viridiplantae, Streptophyta, Magnoliopsida, Poales, Poaceae.